GACGAACGCUGGCGGCGUGCUUAACACAUGCAAGUCGAGCGGUAAGGCCCUUUCGGGGUACGACGAGCGGCGAACGGGUGAGUAACACGUGGGUGACCUGCCCUCAGCUCUGGGAUAAGCCUGGGAAACCGGGUCUAAUACUGGAUAUGACUCCAUGACGCAUGUUGUGGGGUGGAAAGCCUUGUGCGGCUGAGGAUGGGCCCGCGGCCUAUCAGCUUGUUGGUGGGGUGANGGCCUACCAAGGCGACGACGGGUAGCCGGCCUGAGAGGGCGACCGGCCACACUGGGACUGAGACACGGCCCAGACUCCUACGGGAGGCAGCAGUGGGGAAUCUUGCGCAAUGGGCGAAAGCCUGACGCAGCGACGCCGCGUGAGGGAUGACGGCCUC
This 389-nucleotide ribosomal RNA is filed under the name uncultured bacterium. RNAcentral describes it as "bacterial SSU rRNA". It matches the Rfam family "Bacterial small subunit ribosomal RNA", at positions 28 to 418 of the family's 1533-position model. The record is from RNAcentral.